UGAUUCCUUAUUGAUCACUCACAAUAUCUAUGCACACUUCACCACAUCUAUAACACCCCACGCAAAGAUCAGAGAACUAAGUUAGAAAGUGAACUAAAAUAUAGAUUCAUGUACAUAAGGUACCAUGAUGAUCUCAGGUCAAAAGAUCAUUUAUACAACUCCCAUUAGAGAAUAAUCAACUGACAUGUAAAUAAGACUCCAUU
This 203-nucleotide long non-coding RNA is filed under the name Elaeis guineensis (African oil palm). RNAcentral describes it as "long non-coding RNA (EGUI_LNC055053)". The record is from RNAcentral. Lineage: Eukaryota; Viridiplantae; Streptophyta; Magnoliopsida; Arecales; Arecaceae.